ACUAAGCUGAGUGCUGUAAUUCCCUUCAGUUUCUACUAAGGUUCCUUCCAGAGAUCCUUUCUGUUAAUUGGAGAAAUACACAUAAGCUGGUUAAAGAUUGCAAACAGCUCCAGCCCCCAGGCACAGCUCUUUUAACUGAAAGAGGAAGCCAAACAAAGCUUCAAGGAACGUGUAUGAACAAAACCAAUAGUAUUCCAUUUCAUUUGAACCUGUCAGAACUGGCUGAAUACCACCUCUGGGAACAACCCUUCCUCCAGCACCACUCAGGUCUUGCUA
Notechis scutatus (mainland tiger snake) is the source of this 276-nucleotide non-coding RNA. Lineage: Eukaryota; Metazoa; Chordata; Lepidosauria; Squamata; Elapidae. The record is from RefSeq and is a predicted model, not a curated record.